GACGAACGCUGGCGGCGUGCUUAACACAUGCAAGUCGAGCGGUAAGGCCCUUUUGGGGGUACACGAGCGGCGAACGGGUGAGUAACACGUGGGUGACCUGCCCUCAGCUCUGGGAUAAGCCUGGGAAACUGGGUCUAAUACUGGAUAUGACCUUUCCUCGCAUGGGGUUGGGUGGAAAGUUUUUCGGCUGGGGAUGGGCCCGCGGCCUAUCAGCUUGUUGGUGGGGUGAUGGCCUACCAAGGCGACGACGGGUAGCCGGCCUGAGAGGGCGACCGGCCACACCGGGACUGAGACACGGCCCAGACUCCUACGGGAGGCAGCAGUGGGGAAUAUUGCGCAAUGGGCGGAAGCCUGACGCAGCGACGCCGCGUGGGGAUGAC
Molecule: ribosomal RNA, 380 nt
Filed under: uncultured bacterium
Lineage: Bacteria
Description: bacterial SSU rRNA
Rfam family: Bacterial small subunit ribosomal RNA
Source: RNAcentral